Molecule: RNA transcript, 3272 nt
Organism: Passer domesticus (house sparrow)
Lineage: Eukaryota; Metazoa; Chordata; Aves; Passeriformes; Passeridae
Gene: MAP9
Gene name: microtubule associated protein 9
Exons: 12
Source: RefSeq, a predicted model, not a curated record
CUGCCGCGCCGUGAGGCGAUUCCCGACGGAUGAAGGCGCUCGCCGGCGCGGCCGUCGCCGGGAGACCGGGCGGGACCGGCCGGGUUCGGCCCGCGGCUCUUGCCCGGAGCUCCUUCCCGGGGCUCUGCGCCGGGGAUUUUUCCCGAGGCUCUUUGCCAGGGCUCUCGGUGGCCGCGGGCGCUGCGAGGCGGCAGCGAGACACCUCCGCCAUGGCGGCGGGAGGCACCGCCGACUGCGCGCUGCAGCCUGAGCUACAGGAAGCAAUUUCUGAUUAUGCAACAAGCAAGGAAAAAGAUGAAUAUCCAGACGACUUUGAAAGUGAUGAAGAUGGCAUGUUAAACGGUAUUGGGAAAGAAAGUAAUUCAGGUUCUACAAGCACUGGGAGAUCUGUUGCUGGGAGUCCUGUCUUGAAUGAUGAUGCUUUACAAAAAGCAGUAGAUUUGGAAAAGGAAGCUGCUGAUGACUUGAGUUUAUCCUUUCAUGAAAAGAAGCUUCAGCAAAUAAUGGUUUUAGAAGAUCAAGAUCAGAAGACUGUCAGCACCAGUGACUUGAAACUGGAGGACAAUGAUAGGAAAUCCCCUUCUGUUGACAGUUCAGAUGGAAUGAUGAAAAUAACAGAAGAGCAAAAAAUAGCUGAUACAAUGCAGGAGGUGUCAGUGAAUGAUCAAUCUGAGCACGGGGAGGCAAAAAACACAUCCAAGAACUCUGUCAAGAAACUAAGUGAAAUAAAGGAGAGAGUUCUACAAAACCCAAAGGCUUCUUUAUCUGACAGGUCUACAACUUCUGUGCAUUUAAAGAGAAAGGGGAAAGCUGUUCCAUCAACUUCACCUGUUUCAUCUCAGUAUCUGGGAUCAGUGAAGGUGUUGGAGGACAAAUGCGUGCAGAAGAAAAGUCCAGAAUUCAACAAAGUAGAUGAUUUAAGGGCAGCUGUUUAUCAGAACUGGUUGGAAAAGAAAAAGCUCCUUCUACUGGAAUUAAAGAGAAGUGAAAAGGAAAAAGCUGAAAUUCUAAGGAGCAAUACUGAAAAGAAAGAAGCACUUAAAAGAGAAGAAUCAAUUGCAUGUUAUGAAGCAUGGAAAAAAAAGAAAGAUAAAGAAGCAAGGAAGUUAAACGAAAAAAAAAAGCUUGAAGAACUUGAGGAAAAGAAACCAGCAGAACAGAAUAAAGAAAAAACAGAAGCAGCACAAGCGGCAUUCAAAAAAUGGAAAGAAAGAAAAGUGGAAUAUUUAAAAGAGCAAAGCAGGAAGGAAAAACAGUCUGAAAAAGUGAGGAAGAAGAUAGAAGAAGACCUAGUUGCUGAGAAGAGGAGAGUCAGUGUAUCAGCAGUUGAAAAAUGGAAUGAAAAGAAGGAAGAAUAUAUAAAAAAGAAGAAAGUAGAAAAGUUCCUAGAGAAAAGAAAGCGAGAAAUGCAACAGGCAAAGAAGGAAGAAAAAAGUGAAAAGGCUAUGGAGGAGUAUGAAAGAUGGCUGAGGUCAUUGUGUGAAUGUUUGAUAGCAUAAGAGCAUAGAGAAGAUUACUUUUUAAGCCUGGAAAUAAAUGCCCUGGAAAAGGCUACUAAUACUUGUAAAAUACUGGCAUAAAAAGGAUAAUCUUGAGGAAAACAAAAUGAGGACAGAACAGCUUGAGAAGUACCAAAAGAAGUUGCAGGCUGUCCAUGGGAAUGAAAUGAGUCCUCCCUGGAGACCACCUGGCAAAGUCACAUAUUCUAGUAAUUACUAAACAGUUUAUUGCCUUCCCAUAGAACAGAUAGUUUACAAAGUUCUGUCAAUAGCUAGUAGCACUUUUGUUACCAGCUGAUUUUCACUGAAUCCAUUAUAGGUGUUAAAUUAUUUAUUUUUAGUUUAUUUUAUAUCUGCAAUUUAAAUAAACCUGUUACUCAUUUGCAUUGCUUUAGAAAAUGUAAUAAUUUUUCUAAUUCCACAUUUCUAUUAGUUUUGCUAAAUUCCAUGUUAUGGCAUACCUUUUUGGUGAAAAUUUAUAUCUAGGAUACAUAAAUCUGGACUCUGGCAAUUUUUUUCACCCAAUAAGUAAUAGAAUGGUUAUUUUUAGGUUAUUAGACUACACUCUUAAUGAAUUAAUUCUUGAAGAAAUUAUAUGAGGAGGCCGUAGGAUAAGGAUGAUGGUAAGGAGAUGUUGGCUCUCUUGUGGUGAUAGAUAACAAAGGCUAAGGAGUAUGGAAGCGGAAUGUCAUUUUCAUACAGUAAUAUAUAAGAUACAGAGAAAAUAUAUAUUGCAGAUAGGUGAAUACAGGGUUUUCAUAAGCUCCAGGUCUGUUACUGGCUGUUGGCUGUUCCCUCAUGGCAGGCCAGACAUUUUUUCCAGCAGUAGUGGAGAAAAGAGAAUCUACUGCCAGCAGAAACUUUGAAGAAGCUGAGAAGAUGCCCAGCCAGAGCAGCUUCAGUGGCCCACGUAAGAGGUAGUAAAAUUACAGACAGCAGCAGGAGAGAUGACGAACUGCAGCCCUGGCAGAAUGCAAAAGAAUUGCCAAUUCAAAAGUGGCACGUCUAGAUUUUAUGAGAAAAUACUAAAUUACUUCAGGCCUUCAGAUUGGGGUGGUGUCAUGCAUCAUUGGUGCUCUGGGCUUUUAGCACUUGGAGCCUGGAAUUUGAGUUCAGUCUGUUAAGAAACUCCAGCUAUAGUAUCACGGGAGGAUGAAAUUUGUAGCAGGCAGCAGAGUUUAUUGUACAACAGACCUGAAGAGUCUGACAAGGCAGCCUGUGAGAGAGGGAUCAUCUGGAUCUUUAUUUUUGCAAUGUCCCACCAGAGGAAGCAAGGAUGGUCCCUAUGCUGACUUGAGGGGUGGAAAUGAAAAGUGUGGUAGGAUUAGUGGCAGAGAUCAAAGAGAGUUUGUCAGGUUCCUGUUCCUGAACUGAAUGCUGCAUCCUCACUAACUUUAAGCCUUUCUAUAACUGGAUAGAAGGUUUUGACAGAAGUGAGAAGAUGUGGGUGCCAUCUUUCAGAGGAAUGAGGAGAAGAUCACAAAUUCACAACUUCUCAAUUAGGAAAGGAUGCUGAAGUCUGUAGACAAGAGAAAACAGUUGACAUGUUUAACUUUUAUAAUAAAAUUUGGGGGGCUUCAUUUAAUGUUAUAUUGUAAAAAUUUGCACAUGUUGCAGCAUAACACAAAUGUCAUAGAAGAAUUAGAGCUGAGAAAUAUAAACAAAUGUACAUUAAUGUAUAAGAAUAUACAAAUAUCUGUAUAGAUGCUAUCUAUAUGUUUAUUGAUGAUAGAGGGAAAAUAUUUUCUAUUAAUAAAGUAUAUUUUAGUAAUA